ACAGCGAAGGCACCAACCGGCAGACAAGUCCCAGGUGGGAGCGAGUAUAAGGAUGCGUCUCCUUUUCUUCCUUCUAGAGGCACUCUGUUUUCUACAGUGGACACUGAUGAAAUACCAGCCAAAAGACCAAGAUUAGAUUGCUUUAUUCACCAAGUGAAAAACAGUCUCUACAAUGCUGCCAGCUUAUUUGGAUUCCCAUUCCAGCUGACCACAAAGCCCAUGGUAACUUCUGCUUGUAAUGGAACACGGAAUGUGGCCCCUUCAGGAGAGGUAUUUUCGAACUCUUCAUCUUGUGAACUGACAGGUUCUGGAUCCUGGAACAACAUGCUGAAACUGGGUAAUAAAUCUCCUAAUGGAAUAAGUGACUAUCCAAAGAUCAGAGUGACAGUAACCCGAGAUCAGCCACGCAGAGUCCUGCCUUCCUUUGGUUUUACUUUGAACUCAGAAGGCUAUAAUAGAAGACCAGGUGGCCGUCGCCAUAGCAAAGGUAAUCCAGAGAGUUCUUUAAUGUGGAAACCUCAGGAACAGGCUGUAACAGAGAUGAUUUCUGAAGAGAGUGGCAAGGGUCUGAGGCGUCCCCAUUGUACUG
RNAcentral lists this small RNA (589 nucleotides) under Pongo abelii (Sumatran orangutan). RNAcentral describes it as "processed transcript". The record is from RNAcentral. Lineage: Eukaryota; Metazoa; Chordata; Mammalia; Primates; Hominidae.